UACGUAGGGGGCAAGCGUUGUCCGGAAUCAUUGUGCGUAAAGCGCUUGUCGGCUGCCCGGUAAGUCCGCUGUGAAAGUCCAGGGCUCAACCCUGGAAUGCCGGUGGAUACUGUCGGGCUCGAGUCCGGAAGAGGCGAGUGGAAUUCCUGGUGUAGCGGUGAAAUGCGCAGAUAUCAGGAGGAACACCGAUGGCGAAGGCAGCUCGCUGGGACGUGACUGACGCUGAGACGCGAAAGCGUGGGGAGCAAACAGG
RNAcentral lists this ribosomal RNA (253 nucleotides) under uncultured bacterium. RNAcentral describes it as "partial 16S ribosomal RNA". It matches the Rfam family "Bacterial small subunit ribosomal RNA", at positions 524 to 776 of the family's 1533-position model. The record is from RNAcentral.